This 428-nucleotide ribosomal RNA is filed under the name Gemmatimonadota bacterium. Its description in RNAcentral is "Gemmatimonadetes bacterium partial 16S ribosomal RNA". It matches the Rfam family "Bacterial small subunit ribosomal RNA", at positions 355 to 776 of the family's 1533-position model. Lineage: Bacteria; Pseudomonadati; Gemmatimonadota. The record is from RNAcentral.
UAGGGAAUCUUCGGCAAUGGACGAAAGUCUGACCGAGCAACGCCGCGUGAGUGAAGAAGGUUUUCGGAUCGUAAAACUCUGUUGUUAGAGAAGAACAAGGACGUUAGUAACUGAACGUCCCCUGACGGUAUCUAACCAGAAAGCCACGGCUAACUACGUGCCAGCAGCCGCGGUAAUACGUAGGUGGCAAGCGUUGUCCGGAUUUAUUGGGCGUAAGCGAGCGCAGGCGGUUUCUUAAGUCUGAUGUGAAAGCCCCCGGCUCAACCGGGGAGGGGCAUUGGAAACUGGGAGAAUUGAGUGCAGAAGAGGAGAGUGGAAUUCCAUGUGUAGCGGUGAAAUGCGUAGAUAUAUGGAGGAACACCAGUGGCGAAGGCGGCUCUCUGGUCUGUAACUGACGCUGAGGCUCGAAAGCGUGGGGAGCAAACAGG